AGUGAACGCUGGCGGUAGGCCUAACACAUGCAAGUCGAACGGCAGCACAGUAAGAGCUUGCUCUUACGGGUGGCGAGUGGCGGACGGGUGAGGAAUACAUCGGAAUCUACUUUUUCGUGGGGGAUAACGUAGGGAAACUUACGCUAAUACCGCAUACGACCUACGGGUGAAAGCAGGGGAUCUUCGGACCUUGCGCGAUUGAAUGAGCCGAUGUCGGAUUAGCUAGUUGGCGGGGUAAAGGCCCACCAAGGCGACGAUCCGUAGCUGGUCUGAGAGGAUGAUCAGCCACACUGGAACUGAGACACGGUCCAGACUCCUACGGGAGGCAGCAGUGGGGAAUAUUGGACAAUGGGCGAAAGCCUGAUCCAGCCAUACCGCGUGAGUGAAGAAGGCCUUCGGGUUGUAAAGCCCUUUUGCUGGGAAAGAAAAGCAGCAGGUUAAUACCCCGCUGUUCUGACGGUACCCAAAGAAUAAGCACCGGCUAACUUCGUG
Molecule: ribosomal RNA, 492 nt
Filed under: uncultured bacterium
Lineage: Bacteria
Description: partial 16S ribosomal RNA
Rfam family: Bacterial small subunit ribosomal RNA
Source: RNAcentral